Asparagus officinalis (garden asparagus) is the source of this 1906-nucleotide long non-coding RNA. RefSeq lists it as uncharacterized. The record is from RefSeq and is a predicted model, not a curated record. Lineage: Eukaryota; Viridiplantae; Streptophyta; Magnoliopsida; Asparagales; Asparagaceae. The transcript has 7 exons.
UUUUUCAACCCUAGCGAACCAAAGAUGGGAAAAAAACGACGGAAAGCUUAUAUCCUACGUGGCCACGAAAAAUCUGAUGUGGAGGCGGUGUAAAACUUUUCCACGAGUUAAAAAACGAACAAAACAGCCCCUAACCCAUAAUCCCAUAUGCUUUUGGUAUUAUUUUCGGGUUGUAGAUAUUAUCCCUCAAAUCUUCAAUAAUUCCAUAUUAGUCGCCAAAUCUUUGAAAUUGCUCGUGCGUACCUCAGAGACUUUAAGGGGUCUAAAAUCGGUCCCUCAAAUCUAUCAUAUUUCUUAACUUUCCCUCUAACGCUGUGUGUAUUUUCAGUGACGAGGUGUAUUUUCUGCAGAUUGAAAGGGAGAGAUGGAACUAAGGUUAGGAUUUAGCACCUUUUGUUAUGUCUGAUAAAAUGGCUGAUCUGAGUCCCUAAGCGCUUGGCUGAAGAGUAAUGAUUUGCACCAGGAAAUCUUCCACUGCUGCGCAAAGACAAAAUUGCACCAGCUUACUGUGCAAAAAGCAGUGUUAUCGAUGCUCGACAUGCAAUGCGGGGCACAAAGCUUCUUUACGUGUACAUGCAAAAGUGGCGAGGUAAUCCUGGAUGCUUGGCUAUUUUGCUAGUGACCAUUGCAGCCACUGGUCGGUGUGGAGGAUAUAAAUUCCUAUGGACUUGUUCUGUAUCACAUUUUUGGGAUAUGCACAAAUUUCACAAAACUAGCAUGAAAUUUGUAGAGUUUUGCUCAAACUGCCUUGAACCUUAAUGGGUAAAUAGCGCUUAAAUUACCUUUCGCAUGAUAUUGCACUUAUAUACCUUGUCUGUGUUCUAUUAGAGAAAAAUAGAUGAAGUUUAUGGUAUUUUUUGCAUAUUACAAUUGCGAGACAAUCCAGGAUGGUCCGUAUAUUGCAGGCAACCAUUGCAGUUAUUCGUUAGUACUGCUAGAAGCAGCAGCAGUAGCAACAGCACCAGCAGUAGCAGCAGCUGCAGUGGCUUUCUCAAGGCCUUGUUGCCUUCUUCAAAGCAAGAGAAUGGGGUCGGGGAAAAAGCCCAUCAUGAUUAAAGGGAUGAUCUGAGCCUAUCAGUUGUAAGGAGAUCUCUGCAUAGACUAUGCAUUGGUUAAUGGCGAGGUAAGAUUGGAUAGUCUGCUACCCUGUUGGCCAUCCUCUUGCAGCCAUUCCCUCAUGUCUCAUUAAAAGGGCUGAUCUGAGUCUUCUUUUUGUUCAAUUUUUUUCGCGAACUGUUGCUGACAAAGAGGAUACCAAAACCGAGUAACAUGCAGACUUUCUGCAUUUCUCAUGUAAUGGCGAGGUACGCUUGGAUGGCCUGCUUCGCAGAUCAUGCUUGCUUGCAGCCAUACCCUCAUGUCUGAUUAGAAGGGCUGAUCUGAAUCUCUUUUUUUGUUCCAACUUCUGAAUUUGUGCUCAUAUAUAGAGCCCCAAACACCCUCUUCUUGUGUACUCUUCAAUGUGGUGUCUGAGUGUUAAAAUCAUCUAUAUUUCUCUGCAGAGUAGAGGAGACAUGGUUUUAUUCUGCAAAUUGGUUUUGUUGCUUUCUCCUCUUCAAAAGAAUGAUAAAGUAAAUGCGGUUUUCCUGACGAAAAUCUUUGUUGGAACAUGGUUGGUUCCUAUGUGACUUUGUUUUGCAUAUUUGUUUCUUUAACCUGUUGGUAUGUGCAUAUUUCGGUGGCUGAGCAGUCCUCGAUGGUCUGCUACAUCGUAGGCAUCAAUUGAAACCGCUUAUUGAUACCACUCAUUCAUAUGCGGGAUAUGAAUUCCGAAGGGCUCAUAUCACAUUUAUGCUGAUUUAGGUAAUUAUUAGAUUACUUAUUAUGGUGAGGUGUGUAUAUGUGAACAACCCUUUAUAUACCUUGGCUGCACAAACUGCAAAUUUUGACGAAAACUAGUUUUUUU